CCUACGGGGGGCAGCAGUGGGGAAUAUUGGACAAUGGGGGGAACCCUGAUCCAGCCAUGCCGCGUGUGUGAAGAAGGCCCUCGGGUUGUAAAGCACUUUCAGUGAGGAAGAACGCCUGGUGGUUAAUACCCAUCAGGAAAGACAUCACUCACAGAAGAAGCACCGGCUAACUCCGUGCCAGCAGCCGCGGUAAUACGGAGGGUGCGAGCGUUAAUCGGAAUUACUGGGCGUAAAGCGCGCGUAGGUGGCUUGAUAAGCCGGUUGUGAAAGCCCCGGGCUCAACCUGGGAACGGCAUCCGGAACUGUCAAGCUAGAGUGCAGGAGAGGAAGGUAGAAUUCCCGGUGUAGCGGUGAAAUGCGUAGAGAUCGGGAGGAAUACCAGUGGCGAAGGCGGCCUUCUGGACUGACACUGACACUGAGGUGCGAAAGCGUGGGUAGCUAACAGGAUUAGAUACCCGGGUAGUC
Molecule: ribosomal RNA, 465 nt
Filed under: Vreelandella stevensii
Lineage: Bacteria; Pseudomonadati; Pseudomonadota; Gammaproteobacteria; Oceanospirillales; Halomonadaceae
Description: partial 16S ribosomal RNA
Rfam family: Bacterial small subunit ribosomal RNA
Source: RNAcentral